RNAcentral lists this long non-coding RNA (6485 nucleotides) under Lathyrus oleraceus (garden pea). Its description in RNAcentral is "Pisum sativum (pea) long non-coding RNA (PSAT_LNC021194)". Lineage: Eukaryota; Viridiplantae; Streptophyta; Magnoliopsida; Fabales; Fabaceae. The record is from RNAcentral.
AUCGUCUGAGGACCAAGAUAAAGUCAACAUGAGAGGGGAAGAUCAUAAUCCACCUCACUCUUGUUCAAAGUUGCCGCCUCCAUCCAGGACUUAACCAUCCAUCCGCCGCAUGCGGAAUCGCUUCCGGCGGCGCCGGAGCUUCCAUAGGCCCCAACCUUACCCCAAAAUGAUCAUAUCUUCUCACUUUGUUAAAUCCCCAACUCGAUUUUAACCCAAACCUCAAAACCGAGCUAAAUCGAAGGCUACAAUGGAUGAACUCUAAUUUUCACAUCCUAAGUUAAAUAGUGAUAACUCAAGAAUUUGGUCCCCAAGUUUAGGGAUAAUGCUUCUCAGGGAGAAAUCUACGAUAUGGCAAUGAUUUUCUCAACGAAAAGGGACGAUGAGCUUACCGCCGAAUCGGAACCUCACUUCGGAGAUGUGAUUGAUUGAAGAAGACGAAUGGGGAAUGCCUCUAAUAAGGUAAUAUGCUCUUUUCUUCUUACUGUUUCUUCUUGCGCGCGUGUUGUGUUCUUCUUCUCCUUCUUCGGUUCGAUUCCGUUUCUGGAGUGAUUCGGUUGUGUGUUGUCGUAGCUGUGUCGCGCGAGUGCAUAAAGAGGAGGUUUAGCUCAACCACAUUUGGAGCUUCAUUGUGAAGCUCCAAUGGAUUCUUAAGAGAGCUCUGGGUAGGGUUUUUGUUAGAUAGAAUGGAGAAGAUGAACGAGUGAAUGUGAUCAAGAAGUGAUUGAAUUGUGAUUAACCAUUGAUUAGGGAUAGUUAUUGGAUUAUAUAGAGCUGGAAUUGUGACAGAUUAGGGAAAGAUUUCAGGCGGGAUUAGUUACAAGUUAGGGCACGAUUAACUUUCUGUUAGGUUGAGAUGAAAAUUUGUUAGAAGUUAACUAACACCGUGAAACUUUGUUAUGAUGCUAUUAAAAUGUUGUUUUGAAAUAAUGAGGUUAGUUCUAGAUCAUUUAUGGUAGUCUGUUUUCAAUCUGUUCUAAACCUCUGUUAAACAUAAUCGUGUAGGUGGCGGGAUGCAAAAUUUCUUUUGUUUGGCGAGGUCCGGAUUUGAUUGGAAGCCGAGUGUUCAGACCUCCUUCUAGCAUGUGAUUUUGCAAGGUUAGUUAUACUUUAGUUUUAAGUUCCAUUAACUUAAUAUUAGUUCAGGUUAUUGAAGUGUGUUUUUGUUAAAAUGAAAUUGUUAGUUCAGUGAGUAAAAACUGCACUAGGUUGGAAUUUUUGUUUUGUGUUAUUGCCUCAUGAAAAUUAGUUGCACUAUCUAGGUUAUAUCACCGAUGGGGGUUGGUUUUACUAUUAGAUAAAUUAGUUACAAAUGAAAAAUGCUGAUUGUUGUGAACUGUUAUCACGCCAAAAGUCAGUUAGUUUUUCUAUUCCAUAAACAUCCAAAGUUCCUUUUAUCUUUCUGUUAUGCUGUUAUGUUAUGCUAACUGAAAUGUAAUGCCAAUUGAAUGCAAGGAUUCUUGGUAGGUGCUAAUUUUUCCAUUGGGAGUUGAAUUGUUAGUUUAGUGAGAUUGUUAAAUUGUUAGGUGAAUUUAUGGAUAUUGAUAAUUGCUCUAUUAGUAAUUGGUUAUCAAUUAACUUAAUUUCCUAUUAGCUGAAAGUUAAUGUUAUAAAAUUGGUUCAAAUAUUAAUAUCCGUAUUUUUUCCGUAUUUUUCCGUAUUUUUUACGGUUUAUGACUUUUACUUUCUUGAGAUGCUUAUGUGAUGAAAAGCGGUAAAGUGCGGAAAGUAAAGAACACCAUGAUGUAUAGUGGUUCCCCUCAUAGAUUGAGAGUACUCCACUCCCCUUUCAACACGAAAGAGAAUUCACUAUAAUGUUAGAUUCCUAGACAAGACACCUUAAGACCUUUAUAUCUAAUUCUAACACACCAAGAACAAUCCUCUUGGAUUUACAAUGUUUAAAGUCCAAUCGAGACUCAAUUUCUCACAAAAGGACCUCUUGCAUCCACACACCGGAUAGCAAGGAUAAAACCUUACAUAACACACCAAGAACAAUCCUCUUGGAUUUACAAUGUUUAAAGUCCAAUCGAGACUCAAUUUCUCACAAAAGGACCUCUUGCAUCCACACACCGGAUAGCAAGGAUAAAACCUUACAAACUUAUUCUUCUCAAUCCUAAAAAUAAGUUGUAAUUAAGAAAUAUAAUUCUGAAUUUUUGUAGAAGAUGAAAUAGUUGGAAAUUUGAAGUAUCUCAAUUUAUCAAUUGAUCUUCUCCUUUGUAACACUCAAUUCUCACAAUAAUUAUAUAAGUGUUCUUUGUAUGAAAUGAAACUAUGAUGCUUAAAAAGGAAAGUUUAUGCAAGGUUUCACUCUUAAGAAAAUUUGGAAGAACACUUAAAAAUGUUUGAAAGAAUGUGUGUAAUUGAUUUGAAAUUUUUGCAAGGAGGUGAAUUUGAAAUCUGAAAAAAAAUGAUGUAUAUAUUAGGGUUGGCAAUUGGAUCCAUUUAGAGAAAAUCCAUCCAAUCCAUCCAUCAAAAAAUCCAUCUAAUCCAUACACUACAUAAAAAAUUAAGUUAAUGGAUUGAUCUAAUCCAUCCAUUUAUAAGCAUGGAUUAUCCAAUCCAUCCAACACAUUUUAAUGAUUCAAUGGAUUUUUUUAUCUAAUUUUAAAAAAAUAAUUUAUUUUAAAUAUUAAUUUUUUUUUUUUUGAAAAUAAAAAAUAAUUUUUUUUUUGAAAAAUAAAAAUAAAUUUAUUUUUUUCGAAAAAAAAUAUUUUUUUUUGAAAAUACAAAAAAUCUUUUUUUUCCAAAAAUUUAAAAAUAAUUUUGAAAAAUAUCAAAUUUUGAUUUUAUUUUCGAAAAAUUUAUUUUUUUACGAAUAUAAAAAAAAUAUUUUUUUUCGAAAAGAAAAAUAUUUUUAAAUUAUUUUUUUCGAAAAUACAAAAAUAUAUUUUUUUUUGAAAAAAAAUGAUUUUUCUCAAAAAAAGCUGAUAUUGUUUUAUUAAAAAAAAAAAUUCAAAAAAAUAAGUGAUUUUUUUCAAAAAAGAAAAAUUUUAAAGGAAAAAGAAAUGGAUGGAUGGAUAUCCAUCCACUAAAAAUAUGAUAAUGGAUGGAUUGGAUGGAUUUUUAUUAAAAAGAAAAAUUUUAAAGGAAAAAGAAAUGGAUGGAUGGAUAUCCAUCCACUAAAAAUAUGAUAAUGGAUGGAUUGGAUGGAUUUUUAUUCUUAAUGGAUGGAUUGGAUUGGAUAUUUUUAAAAAAUUUUUAGUGGAUUGUUAAUGGAUAAUGGAUUGUUUUGAUCCAUCCAUUAACGAUCCAAUCCAUAUCCAUCCAAUCCAUCCAUUUUGCCACCCCUAGUAUAUAUAUUGUCUAAACAUCUCCUCGAAUGGAUGCAAUUAACCAAAGGAUGCCAUGGUUCAUGGUAAAGAAAAUAGAAAAGUUUCCAUGAAGAGAUGCAUAGAUUUUUGCCUCUAGUUCAGUGGUAAUUGAUUACCUUAAUAUGGGUAAUCGGUUACUUGCCUCCAACGUGCAAAAGUAUUUGGAUUUUUCCCAGAGUAAUCGAUUAUCUUAAAAUGGAUAGUCGGUUACUUGUCUCCAACGUGAUUUUUUUUAAAAUUUUACACAGAGUAAUCGGUUACCUUAAAAUGGAUAAUCGAUUACUUUGUCACAGAUUUGAUAAAUAGUUUAAAAAAUGAAGUGUUAUGAUUUCUUUGAUGCAUAAAAAUACUUUCAAUGAUUAUGGCAUGAAUGAGACAUGUUUUGAACACUUGUAUAAAUAUCUAGAGGUUAAGUGUUACACCUAUCCAUUUGAAAUACGAAUCUUCAUGAGUUUCAUCGAGACUUGAUCAUAUAGUUGAAAAUUUCCUUCAUGAGCUUGAAUCUUUAUCAAUCCUUUUUGUUAAUCAAUCUUAGACUUGUAGAGAAGUUUGUCGUCAUCAAAACAUUUGAGAAGUCAUGUCUUUACAAUCUCCCCCUUUUUAAUGAUGACAACCCAAAAGAAUGAAAGUUCGAUCCAAGAUGUUUCUCUAGCAAAUGCUCCCCCUUAAUUGAUGCUCCCCCUUAAUUUAUAAUUUAAGGAGUCUUUUGAAAUCUUCAUUUUGUUAGAGAGAAACAGAAAACAAGGAAAUAACACAAUAACAAUCUCUUCUCCCCCUUUGUCAUUAACAAAAAGGGUGAAAUAAGGAAAUAAGUAACAACUAAUAACACAAUAACAAUCUCUUCUCCCCCUUUGUCAUUAACAAAAAGGGUGAAAUAAGGAAAUAAGUAACAACAUGCAAACAACAUACACCAAGCACCACAUAACACAAAAGAUAAUGCAAACAUAACAUAAGAAGGCUAAUGGUCAUAGCAUAGUCUUAAAAGAAACUAGAAAUGUACUAACUUAAAACCAUAAACUAGGGAAUAAAAAAAAUGACCAACUCAAUCACUUUCCGACAUAUCGACUCCAUCAUCCUCUUCACCUUCUUCUUCACUUUCCUCAUCACCUUCUUCACUUGGGACAUGUUGACGGUUCAUAGAAAGGAAGAGUUUUCGAAGUGAUUUGAUUCCACGUUGGGUGACAUUGUGAUUAUGAUUCAUGGUGGUCUCAAUGAAACACAUCUUAUUAUAAAGCAUAGCAUUUGUGAUAUCACCUUCCGGAAUUGGUGGAGGAGCGGAAGAAGCGACCGUAUCCUUGUACCGAAACACUCCGUUUGGUCUGAUACUAAUGCUGGUGUUCUUAGUUGCGGUAAUCUCAUUGAUUUCACAGUUUAUAACCGUCAAAGGAGUCUUUGGUUCUCUUUGAAGCGGAACAUCAUGGAAUUCCAAAAUUCUUGAAACAACUCUACCAUAAGAAAGUCCACCACUUAGGGAUAAUUGAUGCUUCAUGUGAUGGUAAAUGACAUAACCCCAAUUAAUCUUCAUGUUCAUUUUCAAAGCUCUAAUAAGUUGCAGUUCAAGUUCACUAACUUGGGCAUGAUUUGGAUGUUUUGGAACCGAAACAUAAGCAAGAACAUAAUGGAGCAUCCUAUCACUCACAGAUAAGAGGUUAGCAAAUUUCACCACCCUUGAGGAUUCUGAUUUCUGUCGGCUCAUGAGGCUAGCCUGAGUGCCUCUAGAAAUUCAAACAAAAUAUUCCAAACUGUUAUAAUUGCUCUAGGCAUCAUUGUCGGGUUCAAUUCCGUGACGGAAUGCUUCACCUUCAGAAGGGAUUUCCAGACAGGUUCCCAAUUGUUUCAGAUCCAUACAAAUUUCAACAUUCUUAACCUUAGCAAUAAACACCAAAUCACCAAAAUCAUCGGUUCCAAACUUUAUAGUGGUAAAGAAAUCUCUUAUCAUAUCAGGAUAAUAAUCACCAAUUAACUUACAAACACUACCUUUAGGAUACCAUAAGCUAACGUUGGUUGUUCCUUUGAGAUACUUCAUGAUUCUUUUGACCGCCGUGAGAUGUGACUCCUUUGGAUUUGCUUGGAAGCGAGCACAUAAACACACGCUAAACAUUAUGUCAGGACGGCUUGCCGUCAAAUAUAAUAAAGAACCAAUCAUACCUCGAUACUUCGUAAUAUCAAUUGACACACCUGAUCGGUCACCAUUUCCAUUGAAUUCCCGCCGCUAAUCCGACAUAUUUUCAUCACCUUGGUAAGAUUUAUGGUUGUUUUAGUUGCAUUUGAGUCAAUUAGCAUGUUUUGUUGGUUUGGUAUUGCAUUGCAUUUGAUUACGAGUUUAUGCUAAAAAGAUCUCGUUUAUGCUUCGUUUGGUAGUGUUAUUGUUACAGGUUUAAAAGCAAGAAUGGUGAAGUUCUGGACACUCUGAAGGACAAAAAUAUGAGAAAACAGCAGGUCAACACGGGCACCCGUGUGCCACAACACUGCCCGUGUUGCUGAUCAAGCAGAGCAGAGAGGGAGCAGAAAACAGGGAUCAACACGGCCACCCGUGUACCACCACACGACCGUGUUGAUUAAAACAGUGCAUUAACACGGGCACCCGUGUGUAGGGACACGACCCGUGUUGUUGCCACUGUAACUUAUGCUGAAAAUAAUUAAUGUUGAAGAACAACACGGCCGCCCAUGUGCCACAACACGACCGUGUUGAUUGAACGCAGCUUGGAAAACCUAAUUUUUGCUGUGUGAACCGAUUCUGCUCAUUAAGGGUAGUUUGGACCUUUAGCUUGGAAGGGAGUCAUCUGAAGCUAUAAGAAGGCUUGGAAGAGAAAGAAGAAGAUAAUUUUUGACAGACGAACGAAAGCAUUGCAUUGGAGAAGAUAGCGAAUACGACGGAUUUGAAGCCGACGAGAUUCAAGGGUAGCAACCAUUGAAGAUCAAACUCUCCUAAUUCCUUGUAAUGUCUAAUCUUUACUUUAUGUGUUCUUUAAUAACUAUGAGAGGCUAAACCCCCUGAUGCUAGGGGGGUGGUCCUGAUGUUAUCACAUGUUAUGAAUUUGAACCUAUGAUUUCUUAAUUACUAUGUUACGUAUUUCAAUUCAAUUGUGUGAUGUUAUUAUGCUUUUGUAUCGGACAAAUACAAAUUGAUCUAUGACUUCCAAUAACAGGAUUGUGAUUGGUAGGGUUUUCACACAA